CUGUUUUCCAAAACAUAGCCCUUGAAUUAAUCAAAGGUGUUACCUGCCCAAUGACUUGAAAUUAAAUUAGUCUAACAUACUAAUAAGAUAGUUUAAAGGACGCGGUAUACUGACCGUGAUAAUGUAGCAUAAUCAUUCGCCAUUUAAUUGAUGGAUAGUAUGAAUGGUGAAACGAAUACAACACUGUCUCAGGUGGAAAUCUUAUAAAAUUAAAAUAAUAGUAAAGAUGCUAUUUAAAACUGUAAGACGAGAAGACCCUAUAGAGCUUAACUAUGAAUUUUCUUUAAAUUAAAAAACUAGUUUUUUAAUUAGAAAAUAAGGUAGUUUAGUUGGGGCGACUACUUUCUAAAUACAACGAAAGUAAACAAAGUUAAUUAUUUAACUUACUGUAUAAAAAAUAAAUUUAACAGUUAUAAUAAUAGGUAAUAAUGACCCGUCAUUAAAAUAAAACAAACUUGACGAUUAAUAAAUAAAAGCUACCUUAGGGAUAACAGGGUAAUCUUGUUCUAGAGAUCUUAUCGAAUACAAGGUUUGCCACCUCGAUGUUAAAAUUAUGA
This 557-nucleotide ribosomal RNA is filed under the name Tiaricodon coeruleus. RNAcentral's name for it is "partial 16S ribosomal RNA". It matches the Rfam family "Bacterial large subunit ribosomal RNA", at positions 1800 to 2542 of the family's 2925-position model. Lineage: Eukaryota; Metazoa; Cnidaria; Hydrozoa; Anthoathecata; Halimedusidae. The record is from RNAcentral.